GUAGAGGAGUGGAAGUGAGAAGCCUUAGAAACCAAAGCUGAUGGAGAACUAUCAAGCAAAUAGAGACCACCAACCACUUUACCACUGCCAAUCGUACGACCCAUCUCCAAGUCCUGGAAAAGACAAUAGGUAGGAAAGAAAAUUACUUUGCAAUUUAAAUCCCAUGUAAGACUACUAAUAGAGAGUAAAUUAGUAGAAAAAUUGGGAACAUGCAAU
Long non-coding RNA from Telopea speciosissima, 216 nucleotides. RefSeq lists it as uncharacterized. The transcript is spliced from 3 exons. NCBI's taxonomy places the organism in Eukaryota, Viridiplantae, Streptophyta, Magnoliopsida, Proteales, Proteaceae. The record is from RefSeq and is a predicted model, not a curated record.